This 413-nucleotide RNase P RNA is filed under the name bacterium. RNAcentral's name for it is "RNase P RNA component class A". It matches the Rfam family "Bacterial RNase P class A". From Rfam's summary of the family: Ribonuclease P (RNase P) is a ubiquitous endoribonuclease, found in archaea, bacteria and eukarya as well as chloroplasts and mitochondria. Its best characterised activity is the generation of mature 5'-ends of tRNAs by cleaving the 5'-leader elements of precursor-tRNAs. The record is from RNAcentral.
GGGCAGGAUCGGGUGAUCGCUCCCCGCCUCUGGCGGGGGGAGGAAAGUCCGAGCUCCGGAGGACAGGCAGCCCCGGGAAUACCGGGGGCUUCGCCGGUAAUGCGGCGGGGACGGAAAGUGCCACAGAAAAUAUACCGCCUCUCCCUCGGGGGAGGUAAGGGUGAAAUGGCGAGGUAAGAGCUCACCGCCCGGUCAGCAAUGUCCGGGGCCAGGCAAACCCCUGCCGGAGCAAGACCAAAUAGAUUCCGCCGCCAAAACCUUGUCCUUGUGGCAGGGUUUUAAGAAGGCCGGUCCGGCCGUAAAGCGGAAGGGUAGGUCGCUUGAUCUCCCGCUGUAAUGGCGGGGGGCAGAUAGAUGAUCAUCGUCCCGCCUCUGGCGGGAUACAGAACUCGGCUUACAGAUCCUGUCCGUUU